GAUUCCUUAGUUCAGCUGGGAGAGCGCUAUCUUGUCAAGGUAGAGGUCGCUGGUUCGAACCCAAUCGGAAUCA
Molecule: transfer RNA, 73 nt
Filed under: Pseudobacillus badius
Lineage: Bacteria; Bacillati; Bacillota; Bacilli; Caryophanales; Bacillaceae
Description: tRNA-Asp
Rfam family: tRNA
About the family: Transfer RNA (tRNA) molecules are approximately 80 nucleotides in length. Their secondary structure includes four short double-helical elements and three loops (D, anti-codon, and T loops). Further hydrogen bonds mediate the characteristic L-shaped molecular structure. tRNAs have two regions of fundamental functional importance: the anti-codon, which is responsible for specific mRNA codon recognition, and the 3' end, to which the tRNAs corresponding amino acid is attached (by aminoacyl-tRNA synthetases). tRNAs cope with the degeneracy of the genetic code in two manners: having more than one tRNA (with a specific anti-codon) for a particular amino acid; and 'wobble' base-pairing, i.e. permitting non-standard base-pairing at the 3rd anti-codon position.
Source: RNAcentral